Molecule: ribosomal RNA, 253 nt
Filed under: uncultured bacterium
Lineage: Bacteria
Description: partial 16S ribosomal RNA
Rfam family: Bacterial small subunit ribosomal RNA
Source: RNAcentral
UACGUAGGUGGCAAGCGUUGUCCGGAUUUACUGGGCGUAAAGGGCGCGCAGGCGGUCGGCUCAGUCGAAUGUGAAAGCCCCCGGCUCAACUGGGGAGGGUCAUUCGAUACUGUCCGACUCGAAGGCAGGAGAGGGAAGCGGAAUUCCCGGUGUAGUGGUGAAAUGCGUAGAUAUCGGGAGGAACACCAGUGGCGAAGGCGGCUUUCUGGCCUGUUCUUGACGCUGAGGCGCGAAAGCUAGGGGAGCGAACGGG